Molecule: ribosomal RNA, 468 nt
Filed under: uncultured bacterium
Lineage: Bacteria
Description: partial 16S ribosomal RNA
Rfam family: Bacterial small subunit ribosomal RNA
Source: RNAcentral
GACGAACGCUGGCGGCGUGCUUAACACAUGCAAGUCGAACGGAAAGGCCCUGCUUUUGUGGGGUGCUCGAGUGGCGAACGGGUGAGUAACACGUGAGUAACCUGCCAUUGACUUUGGGAUAACUUCAGGAAACUGGGGCUAAUACCGGAUAGGAGCUCCUGCUGCUUGGUGGGGGUUGGAAAGUUUCGGCGGUUGGGGAUGGACUCGCGGCUUAUCAGCUUGUUGGUGGGGUAGUGGCUUACCAAGGCUUUGACGGGUAGCCGGCCUGCGAGGGUGACCGGCCACAUUGGGACUGGGAUACGGCCCAGACUCCUACGGGAGGCAGCAGUGGGGAAUGUUGCACAAUGGGCGGAGGCCUGAUGCAGCAACGCCGCGUGCGGGAUGACGGCCUUCGGGUUGUAAUCCGCUUUCGCCUGUGACGAAGUGUGAGUGACGGUAAUGGGUAAAGAAGCACCGGCUAACUACGUG